RNAcentral lists this microRNA precursor (94 nucleotides) under Alligator mississippiensis (American alligator). RNAcentral describes it as "microRNA ami-mir-24 precursor (ami-mir-24-2)". Its record names the gene ami-mir-24-2. The stretch from base 11 to 81 matches the Rfam family "mir-24 microRNA precursor family". From Rfam's summary of the family: This family represents the microRNA (miRNA) mir-24 family. miRNAs are transcribed as ~70nt precursors (modelled here) and subsequently processed by the Dicer enzyme to give a ~22nt product. In this case the mature sequence comes from the 3' arm of the precursor. The record is from miRBase by way of RNAcentral. Lineage: Eukaryota; Metazoa; Chordata; Crocodylia; Alligatoridae.
UCUGGGCCCUGCCUCCGGUGCCUACUGAGCUGAUACUCAGUUGCUUUGGUUUAAACUGGCUCAGUUCAGCAGGAACAGGAGUCUGGCUCCAGCU